GACGAACGCUGGCGGCGUGCUUAACACAUGCAAGUCGAACGGUGAAGCGCCUUCCUUUUUGGUGGGUGUGGAUGAGUGGCGAACGGGUGAGUAACACGUGAGUAACCUGCCCCCUUCUUCUGGAUAACCGCAUGAAAGUGUGGCUAAUACGGGAUAUUCUGGGUCUGUCGCAUGAUGGGUCUGGGAAAGAUAUUGUUUCGGUGGGGGAUGGGCUCGCGGCCUAUCAGCUUGUUGGUGGGGUGAUGGCCUACCAAGGCGGUGACGGGUAGCCGGCCUGAGAGGGUGGACGGUCACAAUGGGAAUGAGACACGGCCCAGACUCCUAAGGGAGGCAGCAGUGGGGAAUAUUGCACAAUGGGCGCAAGCCUGAUGCAGCGACGCCGCGUGAGGGAUGGAGGCCUGCGGGUUGUGAACCUCUUUCGCCAGUGAAGCAGGCCUGCCUCGUUUGUGGGUGGGUUGACGGUAGCUGGAUAAGAAGCGCCGGCUAACUACGUG
RNAcentral lists this ribosomal RNA (494 nucleotides) under uncultured bacterium. RNAcentral's name for it is "partial 16S ribosomal RNA". It matches the Rfam family "Bacterial small subunit ribosomal RNA", at positions 28 to 507 of the family's 1533-position model. The record is from RNAcentral.